Molecule: ribosomal RNA, 468 nt
Filed under: uncultured bacterium
Lineage: Bacteria
Description: partial 16S ribosomal RNA
Rfam family: Bacterial small subunit ribosomal RNA
Source: RNAcentral
GACGAACGCUGGCGGCGUGCUUAACACAUGCAAGUCGAACGGAAAGGCCCUGCUUUUGUGGGGUGCUCGAGUGGCGAACGGGUGAGUAACACGUGAGUAACCUGCCCUUGACUUUGGGAUAACUUCAGGAAACUGGGGCUAAUACCGGAUAGGAGCUCCUGCUGCAUGGUGGGGGUUGGAAAGUUUCGGCGGUUGGGGAUGGACUCGCGGCUUAUCAGCUUGUUGGUGGGGUAGUGGCUUACCAAGGCUUUGACGGGUAGCCGGCCUGAGAGGGUGACCGGCCACAUUGGGACUGAGAUACGGCCCAGACUCCUACGGGAGGCAGCAGUGGGGAAUAUUGCACAAUGGGCGGAAGCCUGAUGCAGCAACGCCGCGUGCGGGAUGACGGCCUUCGGGUUAUAAACCGAUUUCGCCUGUGACGAAGCGUGAGUGACGGUAAUGGGUAAGGAAGCACCGGCUAACUACGUG